Molecule: ribosomal RNA, 1373 nt
Filed under: uncultured bacterium
Lineage: Bacteria
Description: bacterial SSU rRNA
Rfam family: Bacterial small subunit ribosomal RNA
Source: RNAcentral
GAUGAACGCUGGCGGCGUGCCUAAUACAUGCAAGUCGAGCGAACGGACGAGAAGCUUGCUUCUCUGAUGUUAGCGGCGGACGGGUGAGUAACACGUGGAUAACCUACCUAUAAGACUGGGAUAACUUCGGGAAACCGGAGCUAAUACCGGAUAAUAUUUUGAACCGCGUGGUUCAAAAGUGAAAGACGGUCUUGCUGUCACUUAUAGAUGGAUCCGCGCUGCAUUAGCUAGUUGGUAAGGUAACGGCUUACCAAGGCAACGAUGCAUAGCCGACCUGAGAGGGUGAUCGGCCACACUGGAACUGAGACACGGUCCAGACUCCUACGGGAGGCAGCAGUAGGGAAUCUUCCGCAAUGGGCGAAAGCCUGACGGAGCAACGCCGCGUGGGUGAUGAAGGUCUUCGGAUCGUAAAACUCUGUUAUUAGGGAAGAACAUAUGUGUAAGUAACUGUGCACAUCUUGACGGUACCUAAUCAGAAAGCCACGGCUAACUACGUGCCAGCAGCCGCGGUAAUACGUAGGUGGCAAGCGUUAUCCGGAAUUAUUGGGCGUAAAGCGCGCGUAGGCGGUUUUUUAAGUCUGAUGUGAAAGCCCACGGCUCAACCGUGGAGGGUCAUUGGAAACUGGAAAACUUGAGUGCAGAAGAGGAAAGUGGAAUUCCAUGUGUAGCGGUGAAAUGCGCAGAGAUAUGGAGGAACACCAGUGGCGAAGGCGACUUUCUGGUCUGUAACUGACGCUGAUGUGCGAAAGCGUGGGGAUCAAACAGGAUUAGAUACCCUGGUAGUCCACGCCGUAAACGAUGAGUGCUAAGUGUUAGGGGGUUUCCGCCCCUUAGUGCUGCAGCUAACGCAUUAAGCACUCCGCCUGGGGAGUACGACCGCAAGGUUGAAACUCAAAGGAAUUGACGGGGACCCGCACAAGCGGUGGAGCAUGUGGUUUAAUUCGAAGCAACGCGAAGAACCUUACCAAAUCUUGACAUCCUUUGACAACUCUAGAGAUAGAGCCUUCCCCUUCGGGGGGGCAAAGUGACAGGUGGUGCAUGGUUGUCGUCAGCUCGUGUCGUGAGAUGUUGGGUUAAGUCCCGCAACGAGCGCAACCCUUAAGCUUAGUUGCCAUCAUUAAGUUGGGCACUCUAAGUUGACUGCCGGUGACAAACCGGAGGAAGGUGGGGAUGACGUCAAAUCAUCAUGCCCCUUAUGAUUUGGGCUACACACGUGCUACAAUGGACAAUACAAAGGGCAGCGAAACCGCGAGGUCAAGCAAAUCCCAUAAAGUUGUUCUCAGUUCGGAUUGUAGUCUGCAACUCGACUACAUGAAGCUGGAAUCGCUAGUAAUCGUAGGUCAGCAUGCUACGGUGAAUACGUUCCCGGGUCU